AUUCAGCUGACGGGUUCUAAAUAAGACGAAAUGUGCAUCCUGGAU
Schistosoma margrebowiei is the source of this 45-nucleotide non-coding RNA. The record is from Rfam. NCBI's taxonomy places the organism in Eukaryota, Metazoa, Platyhelminthes, Trematoda, Strigeidida, Schistosomatidae.